Long non-coding RNA from Siniperca chuatsi (mandarin fish), 771 nucleotides. RefSeq lists it as uncharacterized. The record is from RefSeq and is a predicted model, not a curated record. The transcript is spliced from 2 exons. Lineage: Eukaryota; Metazoa; Chordata; Actinopteri; Centrarchiformes; Sinipercidae.
GGGGGCAGACAGGUGGGCAGACAGGUGGGCAGACAGGUGGGCAGACAGGUGGGCAGACAGGGGCACACAGGUGAGGUCUUUGGUAGAGAGUUCAAAGGGGAGGAGUCAGUAUCAGCUCACGCCACGCAAACUUGUGACAAACAUUACAUUUCCUGUAGCUUCUUCACAGUAAGACAUCGUGCCGGCUCUCAGGUGGAAAGCUUUUAAUAACAGCAGCAGGAAAAGGUGCGUUUGUACAGAAAAUAAUCGCAGUUCAGCAAACGGAAAGUCAUCAGCAAACAGUCGAAUAAAGCUGACAUGAACAGGAACUUCAGUAACGCCGUUUCACGCUUUCAUUGUCAACAGGAAACAUUUCAGAAGCUUCUGUUCUUAUUAUUGUUAUUUUAUCUUCUGUUACUAUUGUUUUUUGGACAUUUUGUGCCUUUUUUAGAUAGCGAAGUAGUAGCGAGAUGACACGAGGGACUCGAACCGGGGACGUUACGUUCAUGGUCAAAGUUUUAACCCCCUGAACCACAGGGACAACCUGCGCCGAGUCUUUAGCUUUAUACCGAGUAUCUCUGCUCCAUGACCGCUGCCGCCACUGGUUCCUGACAUACUGAGCUCUGAUUGGACAAUCACUGUUUGGGGGAGGGGUUUAACUGGACCUGAAGCAACGUGGGGGGCAGACAGGGAUGGGGGAGUUCAGUUACUGAAGGACUGGAGGGUUUUUAUUCCGAGUUCAGACAGAAACACAGAAGAAGCUGGGGAUCAAUAAUCAAUCAUCAUUUAUCA